GAGGAAUCGAGAAUCAUAGUUCAGCAAGAGACCUGGGCUUAUUCUAGUGGUACUGGUUCCUGGGAACACAGAAACUCUCGGUGUUUUUGUCAAUCUGCAUGUGCCCGUCUUGGAACAGCUCAGUGAAAGAAGGAAACUGGCUAAACAAGUUUCAGAGGUGAACCUGCUGGUAACUGUACCUCUGGUUUAUCGUGAAUAAUGAAGACGUCCCGCCAUCCAGGGCGCGGGUCACAGAACUGCGUGGAGCCAAUUGCCCAGCAAACCAAAGACUACAGCACCUGCCCAGUAAUCUCAUCGGGGAAACAAACAAAGUUGAGAAUGAGGUCAGCGGCAGGUGUCCUCUGCAUGGCAGGAUGCAGAGCAAGUGAAGAAGUUGGAUGUGCUGACAAUGGGUUGAAGCAGAGGGUGAAUACCCACACAGAAGUGAAGAGGGGUUACAGCAGCACAGAGAAAUCUUUGGAGGACAAGAGCAAGUACAAGGCCAAAAGAUGAGGUAAGAGGCAG
Molecule: long non-coding RNA, 504 nt
Organism: Bos indicus x Bos taurus (hybrid cattle)
Lineage: Eukaryota; Metazoa; Chordata; Mammalia; Artiodactyla; Bovidae
Source: Ensembl